RNAcentral lists this ribosomal RNA (514 nucleotides) under Metschnikowia rancensis. RNAcentral describes it as "partial 26S ribosomal RNA". It matches the Rfam family "Eukaryotic large subunit ribosomal RNA", at positions 62 to 653 of the family's 3401-position model. Lineage: Eukaryota; Fungi; Ascomycota; Pichiomycetes; Serinales; Metschnikowiaceae. The record is from RNAcentral.
AAACCAACAGGGAUUGCCUCAGUAACGGCGAGUGAAGCGGCAAAAGCUCAAAUUUGAAAUCCCCCGGGAAUUGUAAUUUGAAGGACCUAUUAAAACCCUGAGAGAGCCCAAAGUCCAUUGGAAAAUGGCGCCAUAGAAGGUGAUAGCCCUGUGUGGACCUCUCUCAGCAUACUUUUUAGGCCCAAAGAGUCGAGUUGUUUGGGAAUGCAGCUCUAAGUGGGUGGUAAAUUCCAUCUAAAGCUAAAUAUUGGCGAGAGACCGAUAGCGAACAAGUACAGUGAUGGAAAGAUGAAAAGCACUUUGAAAAGAGAGUGAAAAAGUACGUGAAAUUGUUGAAAGGGAAGGGCUUGCAAGCAGACACAACCUCGGUUGGGCCAGCAUCGGGGCGGGGGGAAACAAAAAAGGUGUGGAAUGUGGCUCUUACGAGUGUUAUAGCCCCACCCAAUAUUUCCAUCCCAUCCCGAGGCCUGCGAUUCUUCAAGGAUGCUGGCGUAAUGGUUGCAAGUCGCCCGUC